Long non-coding RNA from Daphnia carinata, 512 nucleotides. RefSeq lists it as uncharacterized. The transcript is spliced from 4 exons. NCBI's taxonomy places the organism in Eukaryota, Metazoa, Arthropoda, Branchiopoda, Diplostraca, Daphniidae. The record is from RefSeq and is a predicted model, not a curated record.
UGAACACUGGAUUUGCAAAUGCAGAACAGCUGACUUAUGUUUCACUCACAUGUCAGUUGGAGAUUUUCCGGGCAAAAUUUCUAGUAACUCAGCAUUUGAUUGACACAUCAGUGAGGAAUUAACGCUGUGUAAUUUUGAAACCUUGAUGCCCUCGUACUAACUGGAUUCGAAUGGGUCGUUAUGAACUGGGCGGCGUACAUGGUACCGGCUAUGAACAUAUUGUUAGAACAAGGUGUUGCUGGUGCGUCCCUGCCAUGGUUCAAAAGCCAGAAGUUAGACCCGGAUGGAGCCUUAGAAUACGCCAAACAAACAAUUUCCGACUUGCUGUGCAACAAAGUCGAUAUCUCACUUGAUUUUAUCCGUUUGCCUUUUUUUUUAUUAAAAAGGAGCUUACUAAAACAGAUAAAGACUACGCCAGCAAACAGGCACAUGGGGAACUAGAUCACAAGAUGCGUAAGCGAGAUGCUGGUACAACUCCAAAAUUAGGGGAUCGAGUUCCGUAUGACAUUAUU